Lolium perenne is the source of this 903-nucleotide long non-coding RNA. RefSeq lists it as uncharacterized. The record is from RefSeq and is a predicted model, not a curated record. NCBI's taxonomy places the organism in Eukaryota, Viridiplantae, Streptophyta, Magnoliopsida, Poales, Poaceae.
UGGACCUCGCCGCCGAGCGCCGCCGAGCGCCGCCGCCGGGUGGGAUCCCAGCCUCGCCGCCGCCGGAGAGGAAACGAUGGGGAUGUUCGGGCUGCAGUCCAGAGGCGCGGCGGCGGCGUGGUUGGUGGCUCCGAUGACGCAUCCAUCCAGGCACACUCUACGACGACCCCGAAGACGACAAGGUAGACGCGCAGGUGGUCAAGAAUGUGGCGGCGCAGUCGCUGGAGGUCAAGAAGCUCGUCUACCUCUAGCUCCUCUCCUCCACUGCGACGAGAAGCGCCAAAACGAAGCUCUUCUUUCUAUCAACAUAUUCCUGCAGGAUUUAUCGGACAUAAUCCCACUGCUGAGGUCUGAGGGCUUGGGCCCUUCGCACUAUCAAUUACAUGUUUCUGCCCACUUGCGUUGGUGGAUGUGAAGAAAUGUGCCAGGGAUCCAUCACCAUGUGUUAGGAAAUAUGAGGCAUAUGCACUCCGUAAGCUCUGUGACUUGCUUCCAGAGGAAAAUAUGACGUUGGAUGAUGUGCUCAGUGACAAUUCCUCUUGUGAUCCUGGCUCUGGGCCUCCACCAGAAAAAUCCAGUCCAGUUCUUGCCCGCACCUCCCUCAGUCCCCAGGGGCCAGUAUCUCCUCCCUUUGCCGUCAACACCUGGAGAAUCGGGGCCGCCGUGGCUCACCGUCCUGCCCAAAUGGCGUCAGUCCUGCUUUCCUAGCAGUGUGCAGCAGCUCAACAGCUCGCCUGAUCGUCAAGCCUUCCCCAGACCUCCGUCCCUACAGCUCUCUGCCUCAACACACUUCACCUCUUGCAAAGUUUGAUUGAAACAUCCCGAUGCCAAUGUUCAUGUUGUAGUAUAUUUCAGCAGAUGGAUCGAUUGAUUCAUUCUCUAGGUUUUUCUGCCUUAUAAUCU